Molecule: ribosomal RNA, 370 nt
Filed under: uncultured organism
Description: bacterial SSU rRNA
Rfam family: Bacterial small subunit ribosomal RNA
Source: RNAcentral
CGUAGGGUGCAAGCGUUAAUCGGAAUUACUGGGCGUAAAGCGUGCGCAGGCGGUUAUGUAAGACAGAGGUGAAAUCCCCGGGCUCAACCUGGGAACUGCCUUUGUGACUGCAUAGCUAGAGUACGGCAGAGGGGGAUGGGAUUCCGCGUGUAGCAGUGAAAUGCGUAGAUAUGCGGAGGAACACCGAUGGCGAAGGCAAUCCCCUGGGCCUGUACUGACGCUCAUGCACGAAAGCGUGGGGAGCAAACAGGAUUAGAUACCCUGGUAGUCCACGCCCUAAACGAUGUCAACUGGUUGUUGGGUCUUCACUGACUCAGUAACGAAGCUAACGCGUGAAGUUGACCGCCUGGGGAGUACGGCCGCAAGGUUG